This 254-nucleotide ribosomal RNA is filed under the name uncultured bacterium. RNAcentral describes it as "partial 16S ribosomal RNA". It matches the Rfam family "Bacterial small subunit ribosomal RNA", at positions 524 to 777 of the family's 1533-position model. The record is from RNAcentral.
UACGAAGGGGUACAACGUUGCUCGGAAUCAUUGGGCGUAAAGCGCACGUAGGCGGCUUCGCAAGUCGGAUGUGAAAUCCCUCGGCUCAACCGAGGACGUGCAUCCGAAACUGCGGAGCUUGAGUACUGAAGAGGAUCGCGGAAUUCCCGGUGUAGAGGUGAAAUUCGUAGAUAUCGGGAGGAACACCAGUGGCGAAGGCGGCGAUCUGGGCAGAUACUGACGCUGAGGUGCGAAAGCGUGGGGAGCAAACAGGG